GAGCCCGGCCUCAGGGAUAAUUUCUAUGGUGCAUUACUAGAGAAGCUUCUCUGACCACAUAGAGCACUGGAAACCACCAGGGGAGGUGGAGCACUCUCUCCUGAGCGUGAAGCCGCCUCUUGGUGUUGCUUCCCUGCAACUGCCAUUUGCCAUUGAUGAUGGUUCUUCUCUUCCCCUGGGAGAGCAAGGGGGAGAGGACAUGGUCUGAGUGGU
This 213-nucleotide small nucleolar RNA is filed under the name Carlito syrichta (Philippine tarsier). Its description in RNAcentral is "Small nucleolar RNA U3 (ENSTSYG00000034182.1)". It matches the Rfam family "Small nucleolar RNA U3". From Rfam's summary of the family: Small nucleolar RNAs (snoRNAs) are involved in the processing and modification of rRNA in the nucleolus. There are two main classes of snoRNAs: the box C/D class, and the box H/ACA class. U3 snoRNA is a member of the box C/D class. Lineage: Eukaryota; Metazoa; Chordata; Mammalia; Primates; Tarsiidae. The record is from Rfam by way of RNAcentral.